AUAUGCUCAAUUUUUUUUAAUCAAAAUCGACCCUCACAGUCACAACCUCAAAAAUUUCUUCCCCCUCGUAUUUCUCCAACCCUCAAUUAAGCUUUGACCGUCUCUAUACGCUGCACCUCCUUACCUCUGCUUCCACCGCUAUCACCUUCUCAGUAAUUAAACCAAUCAACCUUUCCAUCGAUUUUCAUUCGCCAUUAACAACGAAGCUCGAAAUCAAUGGAGGACAUUAUCUCUCCUUCCGAUAAGCAGGUCAUGGUCUCCAAAUUCCUCGAGAUUUCUGUUGGCCAGAGUGCCGAUACGGUCUGCCAAUUCUUGCAGAUUUUGUUGCGAAGUGUAAAAUUGAAUUAGAGUGAUGGCAACUCAGAAAUUGCGAUGCAUUUAUUGGUUUUGAUUCCUAUUCUGAAACCAACUGGAUACACCAGUGCUGAUCCUUAUAAAAUAAAGGAAAAUCUAGAUGGCAGAACAUGAGAAACUUAGACAAAAAACUAUAGAACAAAAUAGAAUCAGGAUGAAGGAUUUAGGGGUUACAUCCAUGGCUUAUGAAAUGAAACAGUCGAUGAAGGGAUCGAAACAAACGAAAAAAA
Molecule: long non-coding RNA, 584 nt
Organism: Chenopodium quinoa (quinoa)
Lineage: Eukaryota; Viridiplantae; Streptophyta; Magnoliopsida; Caryophyllales; Amaranthaceae
Exons: 4
Source: RefSeq, a predicted model, not a curated record